Prionailurus viverrinus (fishing cat) is the source of this 431-nucleotide long non-coding RNA. RefSeq lists it as uncharacterized. NCBI's taxonomy places the organism in Eukaryota, Metazoa, Chordata, Mammalia, Carnivora, Felidae. The record is from RefSeq and is a predicted model, not a curated record. The transcript has 2 exons.
ACUCAAAGGCAACCGACGGAAUGGGAGAAGAUAUUUGCAAGUGACCGAUCUGAUAAAGGGCUAGUAUCCAAAAUAUAUAAGGAACUUACAAAACUCGAUACCCCAAAAUCAAAUAACCCAAUUACCAAAUUGGCAAAAGACAUGAACAGACCUUUCUCCAAAGAAGACAUCCAGAGGACCACCAGGCACGUGAAAAGAUGCUCAACAUCACUCACCGUCAGAGAAAUUCAAAUCAAAACCACAAUGAGAUACCACCUCACGCCUGUCAGAACGGCUAAAAUCAACAACACGAGAAACAACAGGGGCUGGCGAGGACGUGGAGCAAAAGGAACCCCCUGGCACCGUUGGUGGGGAUGCAAACUGGUGCAGCUGCUCUGCAAAACAGUGUGGAGGUUCCUCAAAAAAUUAAAAAUAGAACUACCCUACGACCA